Lagenorhynchus albirostris (white-beaked dolphin) is the source of this 1073-nucleotide long non-coding RNA. RefSeq lists it as uncharacterized. NCBI's taxonomy places the organism in Eukaryota, Metazoa, Chordata, Mammalia, Artiodactyla, Delphinidae. The record is from RefSeq and is a predicted model, not a curated record. The transcript has 3 exons.
CCACGCCCUGGGCACACACUCUGUGACUCCUGGGGGUGCCCCAGAGCCUCCCUCUAGACCGCCCGCCGGGAGCCCAGACGCAUCUAGCAGCCCCUGGAAGCCCCAGCCGACGACUCCAGACCCCCUCCCCUGCCGGACGCCCCCACCUUCCAGCCGGCCGAGCUGUUGCUGUCGCCUUUAUCCUUGAAGUAGGGCACGUAACGGACCAUCCAGUCGUAGAUCUGCGAGAGCGUGAGCCGCUUGUCCGGGGCGCUCUCGAUGGCUUUGGUGAUGAGGUCGGCGUAGGACAGGUUCCCCCACGCGUUCCGCCGGGAGCUCUUCGCUUUCCGCAGCGGUCCGACCUCCGCGCCCAGCGGCGGCGCUGGGGCCAUCGGCGGGGCCGUGGCUCGGCGCUCCGACCCGCAGUCCUCAGCGCCCUCGGCCACCCCUGAACCCAGCGCUCCGUCCUCGUCGCCGACCAAGUCUGGCUGCGGCAGGGGCCAGAGCGAGGACAGCAACUCUGACCUCCCAGGGAUGUUGAAAGGAAAUGAUGAAAUGAGCGCUUGACAGCCAUGCCCAGCAGAAGAAGACCCGCAUCUCACUGUGGCCUCACUGCCCUGGCCCGCCCCGUCCUGCCCACGUGACCUCUCCUCGGGAUUGUCCUGACCUAGCCUGUCAUUUUCCUGAUCCAGUGAUCCUGUCAGAACACUGAGCUGCAGUGUUCUGCUCCUGGCCCUGCUAAGUCACUUCUCUGUUCCUCAGAGCCUCUGUUUUCUGAUCAAACAGGGGACACGGGUUCGAGCCCUGGUCUGGGAAGAUCCCACAUGCCGCGGAGCAACUAAGCCCGUGCGCCACAACUACUGAGCCUGCGCUCUAGAGCUCCCGAGCCACAACUACUGAGCCUGUGUGCCAUAACGACUGAAGCCCGUGUGCCUAGAGCCCACAACAAAGAGAAGCCACCGCAAUGAGACGCCCACGCACCACAACGAAGAGUAGCCCCCGCUCGCCGCAACUAGAGAGGAAGCCCGCGCGCAGCACCGAAGACCCAACACAGCCAAAAAUAAAUAAAUAAAUAAAGUAAAUGUAUAAAAAUA